GGUCAAGUGAAGAAGCGCAUACGGUGGAUGCCUUGGCAGUCAGAGGCGAUGAAAGACGUGAUAGCCUGCGAUAAGCUUCGGUGAGGUGGCAAAUGACCUGUGACCCGGAGAUCUCUGAAUGGGGGAACCCACCUAGCAUAAGCUAGGUAUCUUAACCUGAAUCCAUAGGGUUAAGAGGCGAACCAGGGGAACUGAAACAUCUAAGUACCCUGAGGAAAAGAAAUCAACCGAGAUUCCCUUAGUAGUGGCGAGCGAACGGGGACCAGCCCUUAAGUUGAUUUGAGAGUAGCGGAACGCUCUGGAAAGUGCGGCCAUAGUGGGUGAUAGCCCUGUACGCGAAACGCUCUUAUCAAUGAAAUCGAGUAGGACGGGGCACGAGAAACCCUGUCUGAAUAUGGGGGGACCAUCCUCCAAGGCUAAAUACUCCUGACUGACCGAUAGUGAACCAGUACCGUGAGGGAAAGGCGAAAAGAACCCCGGAGAGGGGAGUGAAAUAGAACCUGAAACCGUAUGCGUACAAGCAGUGGGAGCCCACUUUGUUGGGUGACUGCGUACCUUUUGUAUAAUGGGUCAGCGACUUAUUUUCAGUGGCGAGCUUAACCGAAUAGGGGAGGCGUAGCGAAAGCGAGUCUUAAUAGGGCGUCUAGUCGCUGGGAAUAGACCCGAAACCGGGCGAUCUAUCCAUGAGCAGGUUGAAGGUUAGGUAACACUGACUGGAGGACCGAACCCACUUCCGUUGAAAAGGCAGGGGAUGACUUGUGGAUCGGAGUGAAAGGCUAAUCAAGCUCGGAGAUAGCUGGUUCUCCUCGAAAGCUAUUUAGGUAGCGCCUCAUGUAUCACUCUGGGGGGUAGAGCACUGUUUCGGCUAGGGGGUCAUCCCGACUUACCAAACCGAUGCAAACUCCGAAUACCCAGAAGUGCCGAGCAUGGGAGACACACGGCGGGUGCUAACGUCCGUCGUGAAAAGGGAAACAACCCAGACCGUCAGCUAAGGUCCCAAAGUCCUGGUUAAGUGGUAAACGAUGUGGGAAGGCUUAGACAGCUAGGAGGUUGGCUUAGAAGCAGCCACCCUUUAAAGAAAGCGUAAUAGCUCACUAGUCGAGUCGGCCUGCGCGGAAGAUGUAACGGGGCUCAAACCAGGCACCGAAGCUACGGGUAUCACCUUUGGUGAUGCGGUAGAGGAGCGUUCUGUAAGCCUGUGAAGGUGAGUUGAGAAGCUUGCUGGAGGUAUCAGAAGUGCGAAUGCUGACAUGAGUAACGACAAUGCGAGUGAAAAACUCGCACGCCGAAAGACCAAGGGUUCCUGCGCAACGUUAAUCGACGCAGGGUGAGUCGGUCCCUAAGGCGAGGCUGAAAGGCGUAGUCGAUGGGAAACGGGUUAAUAUUCCCGUACUUCUAGUUACUGCGAUGGGGGGACGGAGAAGGCUAGGCCAGCUUGGCGUUGGUUGUCCAAGUUUAAGGUGGUAGGCUGAUCGUUUAGGUAAAUCCGGACGGUCUAGGCCGAGAGCUGAUGACGAUCCUUCUUUUAGAAGGAGAAGUGGUUGAUGCCAUGCUUCCAGGAAAAGCCUCUAAGCUUCAGGUAACUAGGAACCGUACCCCAAACCGACACAGGUGGUCGGGUAGAGAAUACCAAGGCGCUUGAGAGAACUCGGGUGAAGGAACUAGGCAAAAUGGCACCGUAACUUCGGGAGAAGGUGCGCCGGUGAGGGUGAAGGGUUUACCCCGUAAGCUCAUGCCGGUCGAAGAUACCAGGCCGCUGCGACUGUUUAUUAAAAACACAGCACUCUGCAAACACGAAAGUGGACGUAUAGGGUGUGACGCCUGCCCGGUGCCGGAAGGUUAAUUGAUGGGGUUAGCGCAAGCGAAGCUCUUGAUCGAAGCCCCGGUAAACGGCGGCCGUAACUAUAACGGUCCUAAGGUAGCGAAAUUCCUUGUCGGGUAAGUUCCGACCUGCACGAAUGG
Molecule: ribosomal RNA, 1962 nt
Filed under: Enterococcus faecalis
Lineage: Bacteria; Bacillati; Bacillota; Bacilli; Lactobacillales; Enterococcaceae
Description: partial 23S ribosomal RNA
Rfam family: Bacterial large subunit ribosomal RNA
Source: RNAcentral